RNAcentral lists this ribosomal RNA (303 nucleotides) under uncultured bacterium. Its description in RNAcentral is "partial 16S ribosomal RNA". It matches the Rfam family "Bacterial small subunit ribosomal RNA", at positions 507 to 809 of the family's 1533-position model. The record is from RNAcentral.
AGCAGUCGCCGCGGUAAAACGUAGGGUGCAAGCGUUAAUCGGAAUUACUGGGCGUAAAGCGUGCGCAGGCGGUUAUAUAAGACAGAUGUGAAAUCCCCGGGCUCAACCUGGGAACUGCAUUUGUGACUGUAUAGCUAGAGUACGGCAGAGGGGGAUGGAAUUCCGCGUGUAGCAGUGAAAUGCGUAGAUAUGCGGAGGAACACCGAUGGCGAAGGCAAUCCCCUGGGCCUGUACUGACGCUCAUGCACGAAAGCGUGGGGAGCAAACAGGAUUAGAUACCCCAGUAGUCCCUGUCUCUUAUAA